ACAGGGAUUGCCUCAGUAACGGCGAGUGAAGCGGCAACAGCUCAAAUUUGAAAUCUGGCAAGGCCCGAGUUGUAAUUUGCAGAGGAUGCUUUUGGCGCGGGUGCUCUUCCGAGUUCCCUGGAACGGGACGCCAUAGAGGGUGAGAGCCCCGUCUGGUUGGACACCAAGCCUCUGUAAAGCUCCUUCGACGAGUCGAGUAGUUUGGGAAUGCUGCUCAAAAUGGGAGGUAUAUGUCUUCUAAAGCUAAAUACCGGCCAGAGACCGAUAGCGCACAAGUAGAGUGAUCGAAAGAUGAAAAGCACUUUGAAAAGAGAGUUAAAUAGCACGUGAAAUUGUUAAAAGGGAAGCGUUUAUGACCAGACUUGGGCCGGUUAAUCAUCCAGCGUUCUCGCUGGUGCACUUUGCCGGUCCAGGCCAGCAUCAGUUCGUCGCGGGGGAUAAAGGCGUCGGGAAUGUGGCUCCUCGGAGUGUUAUAGCCCUUCGCGCAAUACCCUGCGGUGGACUGAGGUUCGCGCUCUGCAAGGAUGCUGGCGUAAUGGUCAUCAACGACCCGUCUUGAAACACGGACCAAGGAGUCGUCUUCGUAUGCGAGUGUUCGGGUGUAAAACCCCUACGCGUAAUGAAAGUGAACGCAGGUGAGAGCUUCGGCGCAUCAUCGACCGAUCCUGAUGUUCUCGGAUGGAUUUGAGUAAGAGCAUACGGGGCCGGACCCGAAAGAAGGUGAACUAUGCCUGUAUAGGGUGAAGCCAGAGGAAACUCUGGUGGAGGCUCGCAGCGGUUCUGACGUGCAAAUCGAUCGUCAAAUAUGGGCAUGGGGCGAAAGACUAAUC
This 830-nucleotide ribosomal RNA is filed under the name Stachybotrys echinatus. Its description in RNAcentral is "eukaryotic LSU rRNA". It matches the Rfam family "Eukaryotic large subunit ribosomal RNA", at positions 68 to 936 of the family's 3401-position model. Lineage: Eukaryota; Fungi; Ascomycota; Sordariomycetes; Hypocreales; Stachybotryaceae. The record is from RNAcentral.